Molecule: small nuclear RNA, 107 nt
Organism: Protopterus annectens (West African lungfish)
Lineage: Eukaryota; Metazoa; Chordata; Ceratodontiformes; Protopteridae
Source: RefSeq, a predicted model, not a curated record
AUGCUUACUUCAGCAGCAUAUAUACAAAAAUUGGAAUGCCAGAGAAAAUGUUAGCAUGGCCUGUGCACGAGGAUGACAUGUAAAUUUGUGAAGUGUUUCUUAUGUGC